Molecule: long non-coding RNA, 794 nt
Organism: Homo sapiens (human)
Lineage: Eukaryota; Metazoa; Chordata; Mammalia; Primates; Hominidae
Source: Ensembl
GGGAUGAGGAGAGACAAUGUGGCAUGGUGGUUAAGCACGUGGACUUGGAGCCAGACGGCCUGGGGCUGAAUCCUGGCUCCGCCUCUCACCAACUGUGACCUUGGGCAAGGAAGCUGGUUCAGUGGGGCUGUCGACCACAGGUACCAACCCUGCCCUCCCCUACAGAGUAUGUGACGUAGGCACAGCCAAUGACUGCAUCCCAGUGCUUCGACCAGUCACAGGGUCAAGGAAGUUCUGAGGGUACCCCUCACUCAAGCUCCAGGCGUCAGGAAAAGAACAUUCCACGAAGUCCAUCUGGAAGACGGUCCUUUCCCUGCUGCCCCCAGCUUCUAGAACAUUCCCUGGAACACAGCAAGUGUUCAGUAUUGUUCAUGGAGUGACAGAUGUCUCAGCCAAGAAGGCUCAGCUUAGGGACCGUCACCUCCAGGAAGCCUUCCCAACCUGCACUGAUCACUUCUUCUUCUUCUCUUUGGGAUUAUCACUUGUAUUGUAAUAAAAUCUUGUUUUUUUUCUUUAAAAAAUAUUAUUUGCAUUCAGCAAAAUUCACCCUUUUUGAUAUACAGUUCUGAGGUUUUUUUUAGUUCUAUAAGUUUUGUCAAAUAUGUAAAGUUGUAAUCUCCAACACAAUCAAAAUAUAAAACAAUUUCCUCACCCCUCCCCAAUUCCCUUAUGCUCUUUUGUAUCCAACACUUCUUCCCACUCCAGCCCCUGGCAACCACGGAUUUGCUUUCUGUCUGUACAACACUGCCUCUUCCAGAAUGUCAUAUAUAAAAUCACGCUGUUUAUAACCUUUA